UAAGAUGCAAUCUUGUGUUAUAAGUAUUAGGCUAUCAUGAUUAUACAGUGAGCAAGCUAUAUAAAUAAGUAUUUAAUAUAAUAAAAGUGUAGAGCAACAACCGAGGGUGUAAGGUAAAGGCUGAAUAUUGUAGAUUUAUUACAAUAUGUUGCAUGUUUGAAUUAAAAUACCUGUGGAUAUGCAGGAGCACACACUCUACAAAGGCCUGACUGGAGAUUUGCCUGAUCUAUCCGUCCUUCAGAUGACAGCGGCUCGCUUCAAGAGCAGGUGAAGCAAGUUGGGACAAUGUUGAAGACAUUUGCUCGCACUGGGCAAUCAGGUGCAGAUCAAACCCUAAUGCUGCGACGUCUUGG
Long non-coding RNA from Xyrauchen texanus (razorback sucker), 353 nucleotides. RefSeq lists it as uncharacterized. NCBI's taxonomy places the organism in Eukaryota, Metazoa, Chordata, Actinopteri, Cypriniformes, Catostomidae. The record is from RefSeq and is a predicted model, not a curated record. The transcript has 3 exons.